CAGUCGCCGCGGUAAUACGUAGGGUGCGAGCGUUAAUCGGAAUUACUGAGCGUAAAGCGUGCGCAGGCGGUUGUGUAAGACAGGUGUGAAAUCCCCGGGCUUAACCUGGGAACUGCGCUUGUGACUGCACAGCUAGAGUAUGGCAGAGGGGGGUGGAAUUCCACGUGUAGCAGUGAAAUGCGUAGAGAUGUGGAGGAACGCCGAUGGCGAAGGCAGCCCCCUGGGCCAAUACUGACGCUCAUGCACGAAAGCGUGGGGAGCAAACAGGAUUAGAUACCCCAGUAGUCCCUGUCUCUUAUAC
RNAcentral lists this ribosomal RNA (301 nucleotides) under uncultured bacterium. RNAcentral's name for it is "partial 16S ribosomal RNA". It matches the Rfam family "Bacterial small subunit ribosomal RNA", at positions 509 to 807 of the family's 1533-position model. The record is from RNAcentral.